ACUAAUUUAAUAUUUUGUCUUAUCACAUGUUAUUUCCACCGCUGCCAUCUGCACAGUAGGUACUUGCAUGGAACAAAUUUAAAAUCUACUUAGCAAUAAAUCCAAACAAUAGAAAAAUAGUUGUAUAGGUAUAGUGCACAGUGUUAUGGGCGCCAUUCGAACACAGCCUUUUGAUGGGAAGAUGUACACGUGUGUUAGGUCUACAAAUGGUUUUUUAUUAGAAUUUAAACAAAAC
This is a non-coding RNA of Cinara cedri, 235 nucleotides long. Lineage: Eukaryota; Metazoa; Arthropoda; Insecta; Hemiptera; Aphididae. The record is from the annotation of a GenBank genome assembly.